AUUGUGAAACUCCUCGAAAGUGGUAGAAGAUUCUCGUGAGUAAGAGCCAACAGUAUAUGAAUAUACGUAAACGCUUAAAUGUAGUUCAGUAUUGUUACCGAAAACUGAAAUUUCUAGAACGCCUCCACACGCCUAUAAAUAUAACUAACGCGACGCGUCGAAAACGAGAAUAUCUAUUGUUAGUGUGCAGUUAACUUUGGAAGCCAUAAUUGUGAUUGUUAUAAUACUUAUUAACCGGAAAACUUCAGAUAUUUGACCAGGAACCUUUACAAAGUUCGAACAUUACAAAUCGUUUAACUUCAGCGGAUUCUUAUCAGACAUUAGUAUUUUUACGAAAACAUUAUAUAAAUUCAUCGUAGAAAACUUUGCGUGUGUGGCCGAUAGAUAGCAAAGGACAAAGCUAGCUUGCUUCGCGUUAAGCGAAUUGUACCUACAAAUUAUUAUUAACUCACUCAAUAAGAUAUGGAAGAUGUACCAGACUAGAAAGAAAACUUUAUAUUGCUUGCAACACCACAGCAGGAAAGGUUCUGAUAAUGAUAGCGAGGUGUCAAAAUCUUCCAGAGGGUCUAAAUCCUCAAAGUCAUCAAGAAAUUGUAUGAGUAGUGGGAAACAUUGAUGCAUGCAGUGGCAGUGAAUCAGAAGGCCAGAGAAAGCACAAAAAGCAUUGAAGACACAAGUGAGUUUUGAAAUAUAUAUUUAUCUGAAAUUCAUUAGAAUUUAAUACUGUAUUUCAUUAAAUUUAAUGAGAUGUACACUACUGCCUUUACAAGUUUAAUAAUUAUAAUUAUCAACUUGAUUUCGAGUUAUUUAAAACAAAAAGGGUAUUUGUAAAAAUAUAAAUUAUAAAAAGUAUUUAACAUGCAUACUGAGCCAUUUGUGUAUUAACCUAAAUUACGACUUACAGAUAAUCAAAUUAUUUGCUUUCAAAAGAAAAGUUAAUAAUUUCAGAAAUGUAAUAAAAAACUAGAAUACAAAUAAUAUUAUUGGAAGUUAGAUAAAACUAUGUAUGUUAUAAUACAAAAUUAAUCUUAAUUAUUUUACUUUGAGCUGGUUAAGACAAAAUUAGGAAGUUUAAAAAAUGAUAAGGCUCGUGGGCCAGAUAAUAACAAGGUUUUUUUUCAGUUAUCAUUGAAAUUUCACCUUUUCCAUAAAGUUUUUGUAAUCUUUAUAAUGAUAAAAAAUAAAUAUCGAAAAUAAAAUAGCCAUUGUGAUUUUUAUAUCUAUUUUGAU
This is a long non-coding RNA of Limulus polyphemus (Atlantic horseshoe crab), 1230 nucleotides long. RefSeq lists it as uncharacterized. Lineage: Eukaryota; Metazoa; Arthropoda; Merostomata; Xiphosura; Limulidae. The transcript is spliced from 3 exons. The record is from RefSeq and is a predicted model, not a curated record.